UAGAAGGCAGCAGUGAGGAAUUUUGGACAAUGGGCGCAAGCCUGAUCCAGCAAUGCCGCGUGCAGGAUGAAGGCCUUCGGGUUGUAAACUGCUUUUGUACGGAGCGAAACGGCUCACUCUAAUAAAGUGAGCUAAUGACGGUACCGUAAGAAUAAGCACCGGCUAACUACGUGCCAGCAGCCGCGGUAAUACGUAGGGUGCAAGCGUUAAUCGGAAUUACUGGGCGUAAAGCGUGCGCAGGCGGUUAUAUAAGACAGAUGUGAAAUCCCCGGGCUCAACCUGGGACCUGCAUUUGUGACUGUAUAGCUAGAGUACGGUAGAGGGGGAUGGAAUUCCGCGUGUAGCAGUGAAAUGCGUAGAUAUGCGGAGGAACACCGAUGGCGAAGGCAAUCCCCUGGACCUGUACUGACGCUCAUGCACGAAAGCGUGGGGAGCAAACAGGAUUAGAUACCCCUGUAGUC
This 461-nucleotide ribosomal RNA is filed under the name uncultured bacterium. RNAcentral describes it as "bacterial SSU rRNA". It matches the Rfam family "Bacterial small subunit ribosomal RNA", at positions 342 to 795 of the family's 1533-position model. The record is from RNAcentral.